RNAcentral lists this ribosomal RNA (823 nucleotides) under uncultured bacterium. Its description in RNAcentral is "bacterial SSU rRNA". It matches the Rfam family "Bacterial small subunit ribosomal RNA", at positions 49 to 710 of the family's 1533-position model. The record is from RNAcentral.
UAACACAUGCAAGUCGCGCGAGAAAUCCGGCACUCACUUUACGUUUCAGGUCUGGUUUUAAUUUACCGGGGAUUGGGGCGUAAAGUGAGUGCCGGAGAGUAAAGCGGCGGACGGGUGAGUAACGCGUGGAUGACCUACCUGUUGGUAGGGGAUAACCCUGCGAAAGCGGGGCUAAUACCGUAUAGUUCCCCUCACUCACUUUACAUGCGACUUUUGGCAGCACUGACCAAGUUAGUUAAAAAUUUGGGAUUAAGCAGUGCUCAUGCUGGUCGCAAGUAAAGUGAGUGAGGGGAUAAAGGUGGCCUCUGAUACAAGCUACCGCCAACAGAUGGGUUCGCGUCCCAUUAGCUAGUUGGUAGGGUAAUGGCCUACCAAGGCGACGAUGGGUAGCUGGUCUGAGAGGAUGAUCAGCCACACUGGGACUGGAACACGGCCCAGACUCCUACGGGAGGCAGCAGUGGGGAAUCUUGGGCAAUGGGCGCAAGCCUGACCCAGCGACGCCGCGUGGGGGAAGAAGGUCUUCGGAUCGUAAACCUCUGUCCGGAGGGAAGAAGUGACAGCGACUUAAGAGGUUGCUGUUUUGACGGUACCUCCAGAGGAAGCACCGGCCAACUCCGUGCCAGCAGCCGCGGUAAUACGGAGGGUGUAAGCGUUAUUCGGAAUCACUGGGGCGUAAAGCGCGCGUANGCGGCUGUGCAAGUCAGAUGUGAAAGCCCUUGGCUUAACCGAGGAAUAGCAUCUGAAACUGUAUGGCUAGAGUUCGGGAGAGGGUGGCGGAAUUCCCGGUGUAGNAGUGAAAUCCGUAGAUAUCGGGAGGAACACC